Molecule: RNA transcript, 2537 nt
Organism: Triticum dicoccoides
Lineage: Eukaryota; Viridiplantae; Streptophyta; Magnoliopsida; Poales; Poaceae
Exons: 9
Source: RefSeq, a predicted model, not a curated record
GUCUUAUCCAUUUCUCUGGCGAUGGCGAUGGCGACGGCGACGGGUUGAGGGCUGCGGGGAUGGCGCGACGAGGAGGGGCAGGUGCCGCGGAGACGGCGCGGCGAGGUGGGGCAAUGGCGGUUGUGCGGCGAGGCGGGGCAGGUGCGGUGGAGACGGCGCGCGGCGAGGCGAGGCAGUGGCGUCGUGUGGGAGGAUGGAGGACGCCGGAGCAGAGGACGACAGCUCCGGCCGUCGCUGCUGUCCGCGCACGCCCGCGUGCUCGCCUCCGUCCGCGCCCGCGUCGGAGCACUGCUGUCUGCGCGCGCCCGCGUACUCGCCUCCGUCCGCGCCCUUCAGCUCGCCUCCGCCCGCGUCCUGCCGCGUCCCAACCGCGCCGGGAGACCGCCUCUGCCUGCCGCGCUUGCCUUUGCUCACGCCCUGCAGCUGGCCUCCGCCCUCGUCCUGCCGCGGUGAGCGCGAGCCUGCACCUAUGGUUGCGAGCAGGCAAAGCUGUGAGCUGGACGCUUCUGAAUCUCUGACGGACUUUUGCUCCCUUGUUUGAUUUGAAUCUCUGACGGAAAUCCUGCUCCUGUGUCCUUCUCAAACUCCUGCUCCCGUGUCCUUCUCAAACAAAGAAACCGUCCCGACCCGGAUUGGAGUUCGCUGCUAUAAGUUGAAUUGUUCUUGGCUGGAAUCGUGAACCAGGCCAGCGCCACCAGCGAGCAGUGCACUGUCUCUUGGGUCGUAACACCAUGAUCACCAUCAUGUCGCCUUUGACGUCGGAGGAACAUGCACCGAGUUCGCCUUUGAGUACGCCGGAGGAACCGGCAUCGUGUUUGCCGGAAUUCUUGGCCCAGAGAAGCACUGUGAGUCCAACGGUGGCUACAACAGAGUCUUAUCCAUUUCUCUGGCGAUGGCGAUGGCGACGGCGACGGGUUGAGGGCUGCGGGGACGGCGCGACGAGGAGGGGCAGGUGCUGCGGAGACGGCGCGGCGAGGUGGGGCAAUGGCGGUUGUGCGGCGAGGCGGGGCAGGUGCGGCGGAGACGGCGCGCGGCGAGGCGAGGCAGUGGCGUCGUGUGGGAGGAUGGAGGACGCCGGAGCAGAGGACGACAGCUCCGGCCGUCGCUGCUGUCCGCGCACGCCCGCGUGCUCGCCUCCGUCCGCGCCCGCGUCGGAGCACUGCUGUCUGCGCGCGCCCGCGUACUCGCCUCCGUCCGCGCCCUUCAGCUCGCCUCCGCCCGCGUCCUGCCGCGUCCCAACCGCGCCGGGAGACCGCCUCUGCCUGCCGCGCUUGCCUUUGCUCACGCCCUGCAGCUGGCCUCCGCCCUCGUCCUGCCGCGGUGAGCGCGAGCCUGCACCUAUGGUUGCGAGCAGGCAAAGCUGUGAGCUAAACCGUCCCGACCCGGAUUGGAGUUCGCUGCUAUAAGUUGAAUUGUUCUUGGCUGGAAUCGUGAACCAGGCCAGCGCCACCAGCGAGCAGUGCACCGUCUCUUGGGUCGUAACACCAUGAUCACCAUCAUGUCGCCUUUGACGUCGGAGGAACAUGCACCGAGUUCGCCUUUGAGUACGCCGGAGGAACCGGCAUCGUGUUUGCCGGAAUUCUUGGCCCAGAGAAGCACUGUGAGUCCAACGGUGGCUACAACAGAGGUGGCAAAGGCGUCCAAUCCAACUCAGGUGGAGGCCAGGGAGGUUCGGCUCUCGGACCUUGCACCAAUGAUGCUGGAUGAUACCGACGUGCAGACUAUGUUGUCGGUCGGGUGUCCUCUACUACUGAAGUUCUACCACCAUCUGGUGGUGCUUGAGAGCAGAGACAACAUACUUUCAUCAGCAGCGGCCAAACCCCGUACACCCCUGUACCCCUCGAUAUCCAGUGCAUCACGUCUGCCCAACAUGAACACCUCCUCAAUAUGUACAUCUCUGAAUUUUGCCAUUGUUAGACAAAGUAGAGCAUUGUUUUGCUGUAGCUAUUAUUUGAGUUUAGAAGAUAUACUCCUCUCUUUUUGACGUCAAUUCUUCAGUUGACACUUGUGCAGAAGCCCAAUGGGAUGAAAUUACGGACUACAGAGAGUCUCGCAGAUUUCGGUGGCAAGAUUUUUGUACAAUUACAGUGGCAGAUUUCAGAAAUUUGUAGAGCACAUGAUUUACAAGAACAAGAUAUUCUGUCAAGCCAUGCAUAUCAACAAUCAGUCAAGCAAAGAAAUAUUCAUGGGAGAUAUACAGGGAUCCAGAAGAAUGUGCACCGUAUGGCACUACCCUUUUGUCAUCGAGCCACUAUCACAUUUUGGUCAGCAAUCGGUUCAAGCAAUUCUCAGCGCAAUUAGUUAGAAGUUGGAAUUUACAUCUAAACGAACAAUACAUCAAGCAACAGAAGAAAGAGUGGUCAUCUCUUUUUCUUUGCACCAAGAUGCCAUACAAGCAUUCAGACUUUGGAAUCGCACAAGCAGUUUGUAUAUAAAUGAUGUGCCAUAUCGUUUUAACAUGGACACUUCAAAAGAAUAUCUGCCAAGAGUGGUCGUUGAUCACUAUGAUUAUAGUAGUCCUAAAGAGUUUGCCUCUG